UAGGGAAUCUUCCACAAUGGGCGAAGCCUGAUGGAGCAACGCCGCGUGAGUGAAGAAGGGUUUCGGCUCGUAAAGCUCUGUUGUUAAAGAAGAACACGUAUGAGAGUAACUGUUCAUACGUUGACGGUAUUUAACCAGAAAGUCACGGCUAACUACGUGCCAC
Molecule: ribosomal RNA, 163 nt
Filed under: uncultured bacterium
Lineage: Bacteria
Description: partial 16S rRNA
Rfam family: Bacterial small subunit ribosomal RNA
Source: RNAcentral